RNAcentral lists this ribosomal RNA (428 nucleotides) under uncultured bacterium. RNAcentral's name for it is "bacterial SSU rRNA". It matches the Rfam family "Bacterial small subunit ribosomal RNA", at positions 917 to 1344 of the family's 1533-position model. The record is from RNAcentral.
GGGCCCGCACAAGCGGUGGAGCAUGUGGUUUAAUUCGAUGCAACGCGAAGAACCUUACCAGGUCUUGACAUCCUCGGAAUUUGGCAGAGAUGCCUUAGUGCCUUCGGGAGCCGAGUGACAGGUGCUGCAUGGCCGUCGUCAGCUCGUGUCGUGAGAUGUUGGGUUAAGUCCCGUAACGAGCGCAACCCUUGUCCUUAGUUGCCAGCACGUAAUGGUGGGAACUCUAGGGAGACUGCCGGUGACAAACCGGAGGAAGGUGGGGACGACGUCAGGUCAUCAUGGCCCUUACGACCUGGGCUACACACGUGCUACAAUGGCUGGUACAGAGGGUUGCGAAGUCGCGAGGCGAAGCUAAUCCCUUAAAGCCAGUCGUAGUCCGGAUCGGAGUCUGCAACUCGACUCCGUGAAGUCGGAAUCGCUAGUAAUCG